UAUUGCCAAACUCUGCAAUGCUUGUUUGUGAUCAUAAAUAAUUUUCAAUGUAAUAAAAGUGGUAGCAAAACGAGUCACAGCUGGAUGUACAAUUUCUCUCCAUUCAGGUAUUUUUUGCAACCAAGACAAAAAAAAAAUUGUGUGAUUGUACACAAAUAUUGUAAUUUUCGAAGCACGUAAUGCAAGGGAAUGUACGUGACGCAUACUACUAAUAUCUUUUAAAAUAAGAUUCAAAUAAUGUGCAGCACAAGGAGACCAAAAAAUGUGAUCAUAUUUGUCGUGCAAUAAUUUCCCUGCCGCCACAUAGUUAGCGGCAUUAUCAGUUACCAUAUGAACCACAUUAUGAGGUCCAACCCAUUCAACUAUCUCAGAAAACAAAUUACACAAUGUUUGAGCUUCUUUCACUACAUCUGAUGCAUCAUAAGAUUUUAUAAAUACGAUCCCAGAAGAAUAAUAUACUAAAAAAUUAAUAAAGUUCUAUGUCUUUGAUUGGUCCAACCAUCGGCCAUAAUUGUACAUCCAUUAUUUAUCCACUGACUUCGAUAAGUGUCAACAAGCAAUUGACAUUCUUUCUUGGAAUCUCUCAACAAAUUAACACGAAUGUCAUUAUAAGAUGGACCUUUAAAUCCCGGACCAAUUGCAACAGUAGCAUCUAAAGCAAGGUGAAAAUAAGGUGAUUGCAAAGCAUUAAAUGGAAUGCAAGCAUCAUAAAACCACCUAGCCCAAGACAUAUGAGCUCUCUUUAUUGCUUGUUUACCAGCUAAAGCACUCUUUAUACUAGGCUGAGAUCCAGGAGUAGUCCUUGGAGCAAAAUAUGUUUCAAUGUUGUCAUUUGCUUUCCUCUUCCCUUUUUCUUGACUUCGUUUUUCUAAAGACACAUGUAUUUCUUGAAUAUCCUCUUCUAUUUCCUCUCCUCCAAUUUCUAAAUCUAUAUAAUCAUUCCCAAAAAUACAAUCAUGAGCCUCUUUAGCAUCUUGUUUUUUUUAGAUAUAUCAUUAAGAACUCCUUGAAAUUUAAUUCGAACAUCAAAAUGAACUUUCUUACAUUGAGAUAUUUGACCUUUAAUUCCAGCAAGAUGGUAUUUCAUUCUAUUAAUUCCCCUACCUUUAAAGCUAUUGUUGCAAUAAAGACAAGUAUCACAAACUUUACCGUCAACAUCACAACUAGACGAGAAGUGUUCCCAUGCAGAAUUAGUCUUUGCAUGGCUAGAAGGUGUGGAACCUAUAGAUUGCCUUUCUGAAAACUGAGUAUUUUCAUCCAUCCUAAUUACUAAGUAAAAGAAAUUAAAAUAACCAUAGUUAGACAUAGUACCAUUACCAGUAAAAUUUUCAAACCAAGAAACAGUAAGGCAGGAGAAAAAGAGAACAAAACUCAAGUUCCUUUAUUGAUGGAUAAGUUUGGGAUUACACAACGGCACAAGUACAACCCAGAAUCUAACUAACAAUUAUAUAAAUUGUUAGAUACAGUGUAAAAAGGAACUUAUUGAGAGAAACCAAGCAUAAUAUUCCUUCAACCUUCCAAACGACAAAUUGUACUCCUUUGACAAAAAUGGAAAAAAAAAUUCCAAAUAAAAGCACAGGGACUAUUCACUUUUCUUUCAUUGAGAUAUUUGACACCAACGUUUUAGAAGACCAAAUUUGUAUUUCCUAUGGGUAGUAAGAUUCCAAGAAACCACCAUUAACGAAAGCAUUUUAGCUUAUGUUAAACCUCAUCAAAACAAGUCAACAAUAAUCCAAGAAAUGAAUAAAGGGCAAUAUAACAUAAUUAUGUGGAGAAAAGGUUGGGUUUCUGCUCUUCCAAAUGCACAUUACACCUACGCAACUCCAAAUUUGGCAGGGAAUAAAAAUGUAUACAAAUUUCAAUAAAUUUCACAUAUCAAAUAUGAAGAUUGUUAUUCAAAAACUACAAAUAUAUGAAAAGUAAA
This 1924-nucleotide long non-coding RNA is filed under the name Olea europaea subsp. europaea. The record is from RNAcentral. Lineage: Eukaryota; Viridiplantae; Streptophyta; Magnoliopsida; Lamiales; Oleaceae.